Molecule: long non-coding RNA, 1739 nt
Filed under: Homo sapiens (human)
Lineage: Eukaryota; Metazoa; Chordata; Mammalia; Primates; Hominidae
Description: HSALNT0309260
Source: RNAcentral
AAACGUCGCCAUUAUACAAAAUACGAAAGAUGAGAGAGAGCUGAGACAGAAGAUACCAGACACAAUACUAUUCAGGGUUAAAUUCACAUGGUUUACUCUUUGAGUUCCCAAGAUGACAUUUCAGCCAAGCCCUAUAGUGGGGUGUUGCAUCAGAAGAUCUUCUAUUAUACAAUGGGAAUUCCAGGUUGCCUGUGUCUGUACCCCGUUUCAUCUUCACUUCUGGGAACCAGGCUGAUGGAGAAGUCUUCUAGCAGAAGUACUAUGGGUCAUGAUGGCAGAAAGAAGAGCAAACUUGGUGGACCAUGUGCUGGCCCUUGAUGGGUCUACUCAGAUGGGUCACGUAUCUCUGCUCACAAGGGCACACAAGGGAAACUCUUGAAAUUCCAGGGAACUUUAUUUACUGAAGCCAAAAGACUCCAAUAGUCAUGAAUAGUGUCAUCUCCAGAAAGGUAGCUACCCUUGCAUUUCAUCAGGGCUCUGCUUGCAAGAAUCGCAAGGCAGAUCAAGCCUAGCGGCCUAAGAGAUCUACUUCCCCUGGGAAUGAAUCCUGCAUAAAGACCCAUGUAUGGAAAGCAAGAAUGCACACCACCAUGAGGGAAAACCAGCACAGUACCAGAAACGGAGUUCAAACAGAUGUCAAGCUGAUUGAAUAACUGAGGCUUGAUAGAGUUACAUCACUUGUCCAAAGAGAUAAUGCCAGUGAAUGGAAUAGCCAGAUCGAAUUCCAGAAUCCGUAAAGCUCCACUGCUUCUCUCUGAAUGUAAUAACCCAUCCACAAGCCCUAAGAUAUUAGACACAUCAGUGAUCACUCCAUCUGCUUUUGGCCCAUUGCUGUUGUCAGGAUUUAUGCAUUUAUGUCUGCAAUAAUUAUUUAUUGAGGACCUUCUCUCUUGCAAUUGCAUAUGGCCUUAUAACUGAAUUCUGACUUUAUGUCUCUCUUAGGAUAGACAGAUAAAAAUUUUUCAUAUGUGAUCUUCUUUCUGUCCCCUACCUCUCAGCUAUGAGCCUGAAACAGCAGAUUCAGUAGAACAGAGUUUCUCAGGAAUGGCAGAGCCACAAGUUGGGAGGAGCCCAGCUCUGUCCAACAACCUGGAACAUCCAUCAACCAGGAAAACUGUUGCACUUUAUGUGAUUAAGAAACAUUUUUUAAGGAAAAAAGCAGUAAAUUUUUGGGUUAUAUUUGUUGCAAUAGCUGUGUUACUUUCCUAAUGCACAAUCACAAAUGUAAAAUGCCACACACAGAGUGUGAGGAAAUAUAUUGCUAUUGGACUACUUGUAGUCUAUUUAAUUUUUUUAUAUAGCUAUAGCCAGAUCUGGGGUGAAAUGGUUUAGAAUAAUAAUUUCCAAUAGUAUACAUCAUACCUUUAAAAAGACUUUUAUGGAUGGAUAAAUAUCUAAUUAUGGAACUGCCCUGCAACGUAAGUGGUGAGAGAAACUCUUUAUAUAUGCUUUGUUUUUUUCUGAAUGCAUAGGUUCAGAAUUAUUAAACAAAUCCUCAUCUUUUGACAGCCAGUAAUCAAUUUCUCAUUUGCAGGGAAUCUAAUUGCAUUAGAGGGGACACUGGGGAAGUUAUGGACUACCUCAUCUUUCUACUAUAAAAAAUGAAACUACUUGUCUGUAUUGAAUUUGAUUUUAUAUGUUCAAUGAAAUAUAUCAUAUCCUUAUAAUAAAGUUAUAUAAGUUGCAAUGACUAUCUUUACAAGGUUUUCUUAUCAGAACAUUCCUUAAUUAUUUUAAAA